AAAAAAAAAUGAGGCUGCAAAAAAUCAAUAAUGACUGCCCCAUUGCUCAAAAUAUAUUUCAUUUCUGUUAUCUUCCUUACAUUCUUCUCUCAUGACUCGGUCUAUCCGCCAAAUUCUAAACCUGGAUCCUCAAUGAAAACUCCACUGGAUGGUUGGGGAAAAAACACGAAUUUACAGUUUCCAGUGGAAAGAACGAGGGUCAUGGAAAUUAAUCAGUCUAUCAGACAAGCCUUCUUAACAAACUGAUGAAAAACAGCUGCAUUUUAAUCUGUACUUAGUAUGUUGUGCCGCUCGCAUACACUGGACCCAUUUUCUGCCCACCACUUCUCUGCUUCUUGUUCUGUGAAAUGUUUCCGACUGAAACGAAUCCUCUUGAGUUCAUUACCACCACCUGGCAAGGAAGACAAUGUAAUGUACACGCCUGGUUCAGCUUGUACCACCCACGGUGGCUUCUCAGUUUGAGCUUUGGCAGUGUAAGACAACAUUUGAUGAUCCACUGCAUUACCGUUGGACUCAAUUUCACAAGAGAGUUCACAUGAAGAAUGUCUUUCACUGGAUAUGUUUUGAGCAAUGGAUGCAUGUUUGGUAAUAGAACCUGAAAUAGGGCUGGAAUUCUGUUUUUCUGGCAGUUUUUCUGCCAUCUGCUUCAACUGAGCAGUAAGAGUCUUGAUAACUUCUUUCGCAGAUUUGCGUUUUUCAGCUUCAUCUGCUGCUAUUGCAGCAACCUCCUUAAGUUGCCUUGAUUUUCUUUCAAGUUCAGCGUCAAGGUGACGGGAUUUGUAAGUAAGCUCUUCUACCUGUGCCCUCAAACUUGUAAUUUCAUCAAUUAAACUGUCAUUCAUGUACUUUGAAUCGUCAAAAGAAGAUCGAGGUGGACUUAUCCUUCCUGGAAGAGGAGAUGUUGCUAGAGAGGCCAUUCUGGAACCAGGAGUUGAAUUUUGGAAAGUUUUCUUUGUGGCGCCACCUAGAAAAGUUGGCACUUUCAAUGAAUGAAAGCCCCCCAAUUGCCAUGUUCCAUUUAGAACAGGGAAGAUGCGGCUAGUAUCUGAGUCAGAUAGUCUGUCACGCCUGGAAUGCCAGCUUUCGGACUGACCAACAGACUCCGAAGAUGAAAGUCUGGAGAGUUGUGCCUGUAAUCUGGGACCCAGAGCCACUCUAUCUGCUGCAUCAUUGCUUUUCUGGUUCAUAUUUCCAGCUCUGGCUUUUGGAAGUCGUGCAACUGAACCAGGAUCUGCAGCCUUCUUUAGUUUAUUGAAACAAUCAUCACAGACCCUAUGUGGCUUAUUCAUGUUAGGAGCCAAGGAAGCUUUUAAAGAUUUUCUACCACUGCAUGCUUUGCAAAAGACUAGACCACAGUUGUAACAAUUGUGGCGUUUUCUUCUAAAACCAAAUGGAUUACGACAACCAGAGCAUACUGAAUGAUCAGUACUAGAAACCCAUUUGUGAAGACAUAUAAUUGCAGUAAAAUUUGAACCACAUGCUAUAGACUUCACAUGCUUAUCUUUUAGAAAAUCAACAUGCGUAGGUGUAUUUCUAUCUUCAUUGUCCCCAUGGCCUAAUUGUCCAUUAGAGCCCUUUCCCCAAGUGUAAACCUCAGCUUUGGAAGUCAAAACUGCAACAUGAUAAGAACCACAGGCAAUCUCUUCAACAAAACUGCCUGCUAUUUUACCUUCAACAAUAGUAGGAACCUUCCCAGUAGCUGUAGGAUUUCCAAGUUGCCCAUAAGAAGCACUUCCCAUUGUAUAUACUUGUCCUGUUGCUGUAAGGGCAACUGUGAGAUUAUGCCCACAGGCUACUUGACAAAUAUUUUCAUCACCUAAUGCAUCUACACACUCAGGAAUAAGUUUAGAUUCUUUAUCACCAUGUCCAAGGCGGCCUUUAUCUCCAUCCCCCCAGGUGAAAAGUUUUCCUGAUGAAGAGCUGCUGGAAGCUUUUGGACUAGAUGAUUCAGUCCUUACUUCAACAACAGCAACUGUGUGCCAAACACCACAAGCAACUCUUGUUGUUCUUAGUCCUCUCAAGGCUUCCACUUCCCGUGGGAUGGUCGUGCUAUUAUGAUCUCCAUGGCCAAGGGAGCCAAAAGUUCCGUCUCCAAAUGUAAACAACUGACCACCAGAUGUCACAAAAGCAGUAUGCCAAGGUCCACAUGAGAUAUAUAAUACAUGUAUGCCCUCGAUGUCACCGCAUACUUUUUUAGGCAUCCACUGACUGGCUUCACUUCCAUGCCCAAGAAGACCACAAUUGUAAGCACCAUCUCCCCAUGUAUAAAGAUCUCCAGAAAGAGUAACGGCACAAGUGUGGUGCUCUCCACAUGCUACUAACUCAAUAUUGAUCCCAGCCAGGGUAUCUAUAAGCUUUGGGUGGGGAACAUCCAUUUCUAUGCCAUGCCCUAGCCUGCCUCCUGAACCUUCCCCCCAGCUGAAGACCUCACCUUGCUUAGUGACCAACACAGCAUGCCUGCCACCACAAGCAAUAUUAUGGACAUCGAGAACAACUUUAGACUCUAAUGCCUUAGGUAGAAGCGAGUCUAUCUUGGAGCUAGAUGAAUUCCCAAUUUUGUGCACACCACCUCCCAAUACUCCAUCUCCAAUACCUUCUCCCCAAAAGAAAACAUCACCUAAGGCAUCGAAGUCUUCAUGAUAGGAACCCUGGCUGGAUGAGCUUACAGCACUGGAUAAACUGACUCUAACUGUAUCAGUCGUAGAAGGUCGACCAUUUGAGUUAUCUACACAUGCAGCUGUUAGUGAACUAAAAGGGCUGGUUAGAUCUACUUGACUUGGACUCUUGGGCACCGCAGUAUAUGAUAUUAUGUCACAGAAUGCCUUUCCCAAUCUAUUUUGAGGGGCACUGUUGACAGGAACCUGACUUCCCUGACUAUCUCCUUGCCCUGGAUCAAAUGGUGAAAUUGAUGGAGAAUGCUUCCGUGUACGAGUUUGUGGACUAUUUGAUGGUAUGCUUUCACUUUUUGACUCAAUUCUCCACUUACGCUGGUUGUUAUCACGAGAAAUCAGUGCUUUAAGCCCUACAAACCAAACUUCAGCUUCAUCCUUGUCUUUACAUAUCUGUCCAUAAUGGUGUCAAACCAAGACAAGUUAUCUCUUCAUAGAGAUGUUAAUCUGAUUUAUUUCAACAGAUAAACAAAUGAAACCUGUAUACGAUUAUUUCCUAAGACAAACAAACAAAAAAUUUUUAAAAAAAAAGCGAUUAUUAUAUGUGUCAUUGAUAGUUUAACAAUACAAAUUCAAACUAAAAGAAUCUACAAAGGAGACAAACUCACCAAGUCCAAUGAUCUAUCAUUGUACAUAAGAGAAAAUGAUUGAUACUCUUUUUCUGGCCGAGGAUACCGUUGAAAUAUUGCAGUACGCUGUCCAGGUAUAAUCUUUGAAACUUGACUGAGUUUUAGCUGCUUCUCUUCUUUACCAGAGUACCAUAUCAACAGAGACUCAUCAUUUGAAAGUUGAAAUGGACAGAAUUUUGGCUUUCCUCUGCGCCCAUACUUGAGUAAAUAUGCCCCUUUCUUAAGUGCUGUAAUAGCCUGGUCGAUAUCCCUCUCGGCAAGACCACUUCUCUGAGAAUCAGCCAUUCAAGUUGCAGCCUUGGUGCAGAACCAAUGCCCAUUUGAACACCAGCCCUUUAAAAAAAAUUUUACCCCAGAAACCAGUCUCCAACUUUGGGCCAUAAAUCUCUCCAAUAACCUCAUUCCCUCGUCUACCCCAUAAUACUAAAUUCACCUCCAAAACCGAAUUUCAACUCCCUUUCACUCCAUCCUUAAAGCCAUAAAAAUCUACAAUGCCGCCAAACGAAACCCUAAAUUAUCUACUAUUAGGUGAGGAAGAGCUCCAACACUCCUGUACGGUAAUCGAAUACCCUAGAAAUCAAUAAACGCAUUAAAUCUUCCAAUAAACUCUUCGAUUUUCGCGCGUUUUAACCCAAAAACAGCAUCCAAAUCAAAAUGCGUUGCAAAUAAAGGCAAUGAGGAUCAGACCCACCUAAAAAUGCAAGAAAUGAAAUAACAGAACGGACAAAUUCCCCAAAUUAACCGAUUUUCAGAAAAUCUGAGACAUGUUUUUCGAGAUCACGGAGAGAGAUUUAAGAUAGCUGAUAGACUCGAUCUUUCAAAAAAAUAAUAACAAAAAAGAAAACGUGCGCUUCUCUUGUGAAGAAAGGAGAAUGCAGGUUAACGAGGACAGGUAACGCGCGCCUCUGCAAUUCUCGUGAAUCUCUCACUCUUCUCUCUCUAUUGAAAU
Molecule: unclassified non-coding RNA, 4247 nt
Filed under: Hevea brasiliensis (rubber tree)
Lineage: Eukaryota; Viridiplantae; Streptophyta; Magnoliopsida; Malpighiales; Euphorbiaceae
Source: RNAcentral